AUGGUUAAGUUAGAAAGGGCGCACGGUGAAUGCCUUGGCACUAGGAGCCGAUGAAGGACGGGACUAACACCGAUAUGCUUCGGGGAGCUGUAAGUGAGCUUUGAUCCGGAGAUUUCCGAAUGGGGAAACCCACUGUUCGUAAUGGAACAGUAUCUUUACCUGAAUCCAUAAGGUAU
This 176-nucleotide ribosomal RNA is filed under the name Priestia megaterium. RNAcentral describes it as "Bacillus megaterium partial 23S ribosomal RNA". It matches the Rfam family "Bacterial large subunit ribosomal RNA", at positions 1 to 174 of the family's 2925-position model. Lineage: Bacteria; Bacillati; Bacillota; Bacilli; Caryophanales; Bacillaceae. The record is from RNAcentral.